Molecule: long non-coding RNA, 299 nt
Filed under: Elaeis guineensis (African oil palm)
Lineage: Eukaryota; Viridiplantae; Streptophyta; Magnoliopsida; Arecales; Arecaceae
Description: long non-coding RNA (EGUI_LNC001582)
Source: RNAcentral
AAAUAAUCUUUUUGAAAUUCUAUAGGAAUCCAAGAUAACUGAUUAUAUAAUACUAAAAUCACUCAUAUUUCAUAAAAAUAUAUUUAUCAAUCAUAUAUAAUAUAUUAUAAACAAAAUAUUACUAUAUCAUUAAUAUAUUAAUAAUUAAUAGAUUCUGUAAAAAUAUAUUUAUUAUUCCUAUAAAUUAUUAAAUUUUAUAAAAAUAUAUUAAUUAUUAUUAUAUAAUUAAUAUUUUUAUUUAUAUUUAUAAUAUAUUAUUUAUUAAUAUGAAUAUUUAUUUUGAUUAGAAAAAUAAGGCA